ACGUACGCUGGCGGCACGCCUAACACAUGCAAGUCGAACGAAGUAGCAAUACUUAGUGGCAGACGGGUGAGUAACAUGUAGGUAUCUGCCCUUUGGCCUGGAAUAACACGAGGAAACUUGUGCUAAUACCGGAUAAGUCUUUACGGAGAAAGCUUUAUGCACCAUUGGAUGAGCCUGCACUUGAUUAGUUUGUUGGUGGGGUAAUGGCCUACCAAGACUGUGAUCAAUAGCUGAUUUGAGAGGAUGAUCAGCCACAUUGGGACUGAGACACGGCCCAAACUCCUACGGGAGGCAGCAGUGGGGAAUCUUGCACAAUGGAGGAAACUCUGAUGCAGCGAUGCCGCGUAAGUGAAGAAGGCCCUUGGGUUGUAAAGCUCUUUCGUCGGGGAAGAAAAUGACUGUACCCGAAUAAGAAGGUCCGGCUAACUUCGUGCCAGCAGCCGCGGUAAUACGAAGGGACCUAGCGUAGUUCGGAAUUACUGGGCUUAAAGAGUUCGUAGGUGGUUGAAAAAGUUAGUGGUGAAAUCCCAGAGCUUAACUCUGGAACUGCCAUUAAAACUUUUCAGCUAGAGUAUGAUAGAGGAAAGCAGAAUUUCUAGUGUAGAGGUGAAAUUCGUAGAUAUUAGAAAGAAUACCAAUUGCGAAGGCAGCUUUCUGGAUCAUUACUGACACUGAGGAACGAAAGCAUGGGUAGCGAAGAGGAUUAGAUACCCUCGUAGUCCAUGCCGUAAACGAUGUGUGUUAGACGUUGGAAAUUUAUUUUCAGUGUCGCGGGGAAACCGAUAAACACACCGCCUGGGGAGUACGACCGCAAGGUUAAAACUCAAAUGAAUUGACGGGGACCCGCACAAGUAGUGGAGCAUGUGGUUUAAUUCGAAGAUACGCGCAGAACCUUACCAACACUUGACAUGUUCGUCGCGACUCUAAGAGAUUAGAGUUUUCGGUUCGGCCGGACGAAACACAGGUGCUGCAUGGCUGUCGUCAGCUCGUGUCGUGAGAUGUUGGGUUAAGUCCCGCAACGAGCGCAACCCUCACUUUUAGUUGCCAUCAUUAAGUUGGGCACUCUGAAAGAACUGCCAGUGAUAAGCUGGAGGAAGGUGGGGAUGACGUCAAGUCCUCAUGGCCCUUACGUGUUGGGCUACACACGUGCUACAAUGGUACUUACAACAGGAAGCAAGACUGCGAAGUUAAGCAAAUCCCUAAAAGAUACCUCAGUUCGGAUUGCACUCUGCAACUCGAGUGCAUGAAGCUGGAAUUACUAGUAAUCGUGGAUCAGCGUGCCACGGUGAAUGCGUUCCCGGGUCUUGUACACACCGCCCG
Molecule: ribosomal RNA, 1320 nt
Filed under: uncultured bacterium
Lineage: Bacteria
Description: bacterial SSU rRNA
Rfam family: Bacterial small subunit ribosomal RNA
Source: RNAcentral